UGGUGUGGCGGGUAUCGAUCCCUGCCGUGCNGAAGCUAACGCAUUAAGCAUUCCGCCUGGGGAGUACGGUCGCAAGNCUGAAACUCAAAGGAAUUGACCGGGGGCCCGCACAAGCGGUGGAGCAUGUGGUUCAAUUCGACGCAACGCGAAGAACCUUACCCAGGCUUGAGCAGCCAGUGACCACUCCUGAAAAGGAGCUUCCGCAAGGACACUGNUAGAGGUGCUGCAUGGCUGUCGUCAGCUCGUGUCGUGAGAUGUUGGGUUAAGUCCCGCAACGAGCGCAACCCUUGUCUGCUGUUGCCAUCACGUUAUGGUGGGCACUCUGCAGAGACUGCCCGGUGAUAAACCGGAGGAAGGUGGGGAUGACGUCAAGUCAGCAUGGCCUUUAUGUNCUGGGGCUACACACGUGCUACAAUGGCAGAUACAAACCGUCGCGAGACCGCAAGGUGGAGCUAAUCGGAGAAAGUCUGUCUCAGUUCGGAUUGUCGGCUGCAACUCGCCGGCAUGAAGUUGGAAUCGCUAGUAAUCGCGGAUCAGCACGCCGCGGUGAAUACGUUCCCGGGCCUUGUACACACCGCCCGUCACAUCACGAAAGCCGGUUGUACUAGAAGUCGCCACACCAACCCGCAAGGGAGGGAGGCGCCUAAGGUAUGGNCGGUGAUUGGGGUGAAGUCGUAANCAAGGUACC
Molecule: ribosomal RNA, 688 nt
Filed under: uncultured bacterium
Lineage: Bacteria
Description: bacterial SSU rRNA
Rfam family: Bacterial small subunit ribosomal RNA
Source: RNAcentral